GCAACAUUCGGACCGUCGGUCUACCGAGCAAUAUAACACGCUCGGUGGAAGAUCUUUCCUUUGUUGU
This 67-nucleotide microRNA precursor is filed under the name Bombyx mori (domestic silkworm). RNAcentral describes it as "mir-2774 microRNA precursor family". It matches the Rfam family "mir-2774 microRNA precursor family". The record is from Rfam by way of RNAcentral. Lineage: Eukaryota; Metazoa; Arthropoda; Insecta; Lepidoptera; Bombycidae.